UACGUAGGGUGCAAGCGUUAAUCGGAAUUACUGGGCGUAAAGCGUGCGCAGGCGGUGCGCCAAGCUCGAUGUGAAAGCCCCGGGCUUAACCUGGGAAUUGCAUUGAGGACUGGCGUGCUCGAGUGCGGCAGAGGGGGGUGGAAUUCCACGUGUAGCAGUGAAAUGCGUAGAGAUGUGGAGGAACACCGAUGGCGAAGGCAGCCCCCUGGGCCGACACUGACGCUCAUGCACGAAAGCGUGGGGAGCAAACAGG
RNAcentral lists this ribosomal RNA (253 nucleotides) under uncultured bacterium. RNAcentral's name for it is "partial 16S ribosomal RNA". It matches the Rfam family "Bacterial small subunit ribosomal RNA", at positions 524 to 776 of the family's 1533-position model. The record is from RNAcentral.